RNAcentral lists this ribosomal RNA (125 nucleotides) under Arthrocladium sp. RNAcentral describes it as "partial small subunit ribosomal RNA". It matches the Rfam family "Eukaryotic small subunit ribosomal RNA", at positions 1657 to 1779 of the family's 1831-position model. Lineage: Eukaryota; Fungi; Ascomycota; Eurotiomycetes; Chaetothyriales; Trichomeriaceae. The record is from RNAcentral.
CCUUUGUACACACCGCCCGUCGCUCCUACCGAUUGAAUGGUCCGGUGAGGCCUUGGGAUUGGCCAGGGGAGGUGGGCGACCACCACCCCAGGCCGAAAACUUGGUCAAACUUGGUCAUUUAGAGG